GGAAUGUGGCUCAGUGGUAGAGUGCUUGCCUGGCAUGAAUGAGCCCUGAGUUCGAUUCCCAGCACCA
Molecule: transfer RNA, 67 nt
Filed under: Marmota monax (woodchuck)
Lineage: Eukaryota; Metazoa; Chordata; Mammalia; Rodentia; Sciuridae
Description: tRNA.Ala
Rfam family: tRNA (bases 5-64)
About the family: Transfer RNA (tRNA) molecules are approximately 80 nucleotides in length. Their secondary structure includes four short double-helical elements and three loops (D, anti-codon, and T loops).
Source: RNAcentral